RNAcentral lists this ribosomal RNA (253 nucleotides) under uncultured bacterium. Its description in RNAcentral is "partial 16S ribosomal RNA". It matches the Rfam family "Bacterial small subunit ribosomal RNA", at positions 524 to 776 of the family's 1533-position model. The record is from RNAcentral.
UACGAAGGGGGCUAGCGUUGCUCGGCAUCACUGGGCGUAAAGCGCACGUAGGCGGACUCUUAAGUCGGGGGUGAAAUCCUGGAGCUCAACUCCAGAACUGCCUUCGAUACUGGGAGUCUUGAGUUCGGGAGAGGUGAGUGGAACUGCGAGUGUAGAGGUGAAAUUCGUAGAUAUUCGCAAGAACACCAGUGGCGAAGGCGGCUCACUGGCCCGAUACUGACGCUGAGGUGCGAAAGCGUGGGGAGCAAACAGG